GCGCCGGACAACUACCUGUCAUGGCGUGCUCAAGUCUUGCCUCUACUCCGCAGCCGCUACUUGGAGGGCUAUGUCGACGGGUCCAUCCCGUGCCCACCCCCUCACCAUCCGGCAUAUCACACGUGGGUGGCGCAGGAUCAGGCCAUUCUCUCCGCCAUCCAGUCUUCGCUCACGCCGAGUAUUUCGUCGAUGGUCAUCUUCGCCGCUACGUCCAGGGAGGCAUGGGCGGCCCUCCACACUAGUUUCGCCUCUCAGUCUCAGGCGCGUGCACACUCUAUACGCACCGAGCUGGGUGAGACCAAGCUUGGAGAUCUCAGCAUCACGGAGUACUUCAACAAGAUGACGAGCCUCGCCGACACCUUGGCCUCUGUUGGUCAGCCGCUUCAGGACGAGGACUUCACCACCUUUGUGCUUAACGGGCUCGAUGAUGAUUAUGACAAUCUCAUUGAGAACGUCCAUGGUCGAGAGGAUACGCUCCCGCGUCUUGAGCUCUAUGCGCGCCUCCUUGGGCGUGAGCAGCGCAUCAAGGCGCGCCGUGUUUCCCCCAGCUUCGUCUCCGCCAAC
Molecule: ribosomal RNA, 564 nt
Filed under: Triticum aestivum (bread wheat)
Lineage: Eukaryota; Viridiplantae; Streptophyta; Magnoliopsida; Poales; Poaceae
Description: partial small subunit ribosomal RNA
Source: RNAcentral